CAGUUUGGAGGACUCUAACCUUGAUUUUCCAGCUUUGAGCUCCCUCUGGAAGCGCAACAGCAAAACACUAUCAAGAAACUGCCUCCUGGCUAACAUUCUCAGCAAACCCUCAUGGCUAUUUACGGAAAUGAGCAGCCCAACAACAGAGCAAGAGAGAUCAUGAUUCACAGAUCGUUUACACAGACUCGGAGACCAACACGUCUUUGGACUGAAAAAGAUGAGCAGUCUGCAGCCUCCAGCCUCACACAGUUGUGUUAUCAAUCACACUUACAAAGGGCUGUCGACUACUGAAAACCAUCUAGACCUUCAUCCACAGGAAGAUCUUAUGUGUCAAAUGAGUGUGAAAUGCUGGCUAAAACUACAUUCAUAUCUUUGACUGAUUAGCCUUGAAGUUUGGGAUCACAUAGCAGAAAUUUGUGUCCAAAUCUUACAUCUCCAAUGUGGUCUGAGCUUCUUCAGAUGGCAGGUGAUAUCAAGCCACCAUGAACACUGGCACGAGGCUGACAAUGGAAAGUAAUAGCAGGAAAAAUGGAUUUUUCUCAACAGGUUGAAUACACUGCCAAAAUCCCUUUGCAAUCCACCUGCAGUCUGCAGACUUGCUGUUACAGAGAAGCUGAAGCUAAAUAACCAACGGUGGACUUUAUAUGCUAAAAAUAAAACAGCCCAUAAGACAAAAGACCAGUUUUUAAAUAAUAAUCAAACUUAUAGUCAUAAUAGAAAUGAUUGAUUUCUUUCUGUGAUGAACUUUCUCAAUGAAAUAUUACUCAUUCUCUGAAAUAACUGUAAUGGAUGGUGAUAGAUGCUGGUGCUCAAAUUUAGUUUUUUUUCUGUCAGAAACUCAUCCUUAGGCCUUCUACUUAGCAGCUCUUUUGAUAUGUUAUCAACUCACACCUCUCAUCUCAGAGACUCGUCAAUGGAGUGGGUACUUCUUGAAAAAAACUUCUUCAGAACCUUCAAAAUUUUCAGAAUAAAAUAAUUAUUACUUCUCCUAAUUUGAACAUUUGACCUGGUAGUUGAGAUACAAAGAGUCCUCUUUCUUUACAAACAAGAAAAACCAAACACUAUAGCUUAUAGACAUUAUCUCGGUCUGAAGAAGUCAAUUUCAUAUGCAGCCCAAUAUUGAAUAGUAAGUGUCUUAGUAACAGCAGGAAAAGAGAAUUUUUUGAAUGCUGUGUUUAUCAAGUCACCUACUUAUCUCACUCAGACAAUACUACAUUGAAAGGAAAUUUCUGUGAAUUGGAGAAAUGAGGAUUUGACGACAUGCAGAUAGACAAUUUUCGUAUUUUAUGAACUUAUGCACCAAUUAAAGUUUUUCACCAGAUUAACUAAGUUUAUUACAACCGUUGUCUGAUAUUCUAUACUGUUAAGUUAUAUUUAAUAUUUGUUAUGAGCUUAAGACACAGAGGUAUAUCUAGUUUAAGGGAAUAUCUUCAAAAUUCAUUUGUAAGAGAGCUGUAUUAAACCAAAUAUUCAGAUUAAUGGUGAUGGGAUCAUUUAAUGUCUAAUAUGUCUAACAGCAGAGAAGAAAUCACUGACUAAGACAGUGGUGUCAUCACUAUCUCUUUGCAAUCACUUCUCCAAAUGUUUAUAUAUGCAAGCACUGACUAAAAAUCACCUAAAAUAUUUAAUCUGAUGCUAUUAGAGCUUUUGCGGUUGUUUACUAUGUUUGACCGGCUUAUGUAAGUACUUUAAACUAGUGCAUUGUCUGAAACUAACUUGCAACAGGUGAGUUUAAAGGCUAGUUAAAAACAUGUGUGUUGAUUAUAAAAUGAACAGAAUAAUUUUAAAUUAUUUCAAAAUUUAUGUAAAGAUGAGUGCUUCAAAGUACACAAAAGCAUCUGACUAUUUAUACUCAAAUUUUAAAAUCAUAAAUAUAUAAUAAUUAACCAGUAAUUUUGAAAUAGAUAAUUUCCCUCUAUGUUUUAAUACAUUUAAUAAUGGAGAUUUUCAGGCUAGCAUGUUCUAAAGAAGACAUGCAAAUGUUUAGUGAAAAAAAAAUAAAGAGAAUGCAUGCUGGUAACCCCUUGAAAAAAACUUUUAAUGUGAAGACACUAUUAACACAUUUGAUCUGUCAUGAUGGGUAGCGGAAUAUGAUUUCACAAAAAUUAAAAGAAACUUUAAUUGGAAUGGACCAGAAAUUUAACAAAAAAGUAAUUGAUGAGGGUUAUAUUUCUGGACAUCUAGUACAGGCAAUUAUUGGUAAUAAUACUAUUUCCUUUCAUUGCAACUAUCAGAGAUAAUAAAAUGGCGUUUUGGUAGUCAGUUGAUCAUCUGUCAUUUUCCUGGCAUACCGAAGAAGUUAAAAUAAAAUUGUUUGGGAAGAACACUAUUACUUUUCUGCUGUAGAUUUAUGAUUAUAUUCAGCAUAGGAACAGAUUUCAUGCUGCGCCAUCAAGUGCCUUUAUGUAUUACCCAACAGCUUUCUUCCUGCCAAUCCAAAGAUGUGCCCAGAAAGAAAAAGCUACUCACUGACCCACAUAGUUCUCUCUUGCUCUCAGAACAUUACAUCAGAGCAUUUGUGGUAGAACCCCACAACCAGAUGUGGAGAAAUUUUUGCAGCAGAACAA
Molecule: long non-coding RNA, 2567 nt
Organism: Melozone crissalis (California towhee)
Lineage: Eukaryota; Metazoa; Chordata; Aves; Passeriformes; Passerellidae
Exons: 6
Source: RefSeq, a predicted model, not a curated record